Molecule: unclassified non-coding RNA, 5124 nt
Filed under: Exaiptasia diaphana
Lineage: Eukaryota; Metazoa; Cnidaria; Anthozoa; Actiniaria; Aiptasiidae
Description: multidrug resistance-associated protein 1, transcript variant X2
Source: RNAcentral
CGNAAAUCAAGAUGGCGGAUGGCAGCAUCCGGAUGAUGAGCGAAGGUUUAAUGGUUGUAAUUUCUUGAUAGAACUAAUCAGAAUAUGGCUGCUCUUCCAACACAAACAUUAUAAACUUAAUUAAGCUACAACUUCCCCUAUCAUGCUGAUAUGGCCUUAACUGAAGAAAGCACAUUUCGAAUUCUAGCCCUUUGUGACUAUGACCCCAUACAUGGUGGAGGACCUAAGAUAGAAGAAGCACUGUUAGAGGCACCCAAGACAGCAUUUCAGUUGUCAUUUCGUCAAGGCCAGAUUUUUGAAGUUGUUGGGAGUGAUGCAAGUUGGUGGUUGUACGUUAAAGGGAUAAGUGGUCAAGAUGAGGGUUAUGUACCAAGUGCUUGCUUUGCACCAAUUAGGAAAGACCUUACAACAGACGAGAUUAAAGAAAUAACAGGGACAGUGUUAUCAUGUCAUAUCAACUUAGAUGCCAACCUUUACUACUUUCCAAAUGCACCAAACCCUAAACAUCCUGGCACUAAAAGAUGUCCUGAAGAGACUGCAAAUUUCCUCUCUAAAGCAAUCUAUUGGUGGAUAAAUCCUUUGAUAAUCAAGGGAUACAAGAAGCCUUUGGAAGCACAAGACUUGUGGUCNUUGAAACAUCAAGACCAAUCCUACAGGAUAGUACCAAGAGUACAGAAAGAAUGGAAGAAAGAAAAAGUGAAAAGUCAAAGGACAAAAAAGCUUAAUGUUCCUGCAGACACAGAAAAGAUUCAGCUUAACUUAGGGCAUGAUGAUGCUAAUCCGCCUCAUGAAGCACACCAUGGUAAAAAGCCUUCAUUAUCCAAGGCACUCAUUGGUGUUUUCUUUCCUUACUUUGCUUGGGGUGUAUUAUUUAAACUCCUCAGCAACAUCUUGAUGUUUGCACAGCCGCAAUUUUUAAAGUUACUGAUAGAGUAUACCACUGACAAGUCCAGUCCAGAAUGGAAGGGAUAUGUAAUUGUGGUUGCCAUGGUGAUAACAGCAAUCUUUGAAUGCACAUUUUCCCAGCAUGCCAUUAAUGUGUCAUUUGUUACUGGAAUGAGAGUAGGCACAUCACUGAUGGGUCUUGUUUACUCAAAGACUUUGCAGCUGAGUAAUUUCUCAAGAAGCAAGUCCACAGCUGGAGAAAUCUUGUCCUUGAUGUCAGUCGAUACUCAAAGAAUAGUAACUCUUUGUAACUCACUUCACAGAGUAUGGUCCACUCCUCUUGAAGUUUGUGUUGCUAUCUAUUUUCUGUACGUUGCCAUGGGUGUAUCAACUCUAGCUGGUGUUGCCGUGAUGUUAUUGCUUAUUCCUUUGAACAUUGUUAUCAGUCGUGUUGCUCGUCAGCUUCAGAUUAAACAGCUAGGUCAGCAAGAUAACCGAGUCAAAACAAUCAGUGAAAUGUUGAGUGGAAUUAAAGUAUUAAAGCUGUUUGCCUGGGAAGAAUCAUUCAUAAAUAAAGUCCUAAGAUUUCGUAUCAAGGAGAUAUCAUACAUGAUGCGCAGCAUGUACUUGACUGUCACUCUAUUUUUCUUCAACUUCUGUACUCCAAUGUUGGUUUCCAUGGCAACGUUCUUUGUUUACACCCUAACAGGCAAUGAACUGACAGCAACCAAGGCAUUUGUUGCCAUUUCAUUGUUUAACAUCCUCCGCUUUCCUUUAUCAAUAUUUCCAAGAAUCAUUGCUAAUCUCAUUCAGGCACAAGUNUCUUUGUCUCGGCUGUCAGAUUUUCUUAAUUUAGAAGACAAGGAUAAACAAAAUGUCCUUCAUGAAAUGCCACAAAAUAUCAGUACACAAGCUCUUCAUAUAGACAAUGGAUCCUUUUCUUGGACUAAACAAGGAGAACCAGUUUUAGAAAACAUUAAUAUGAAUAUACCAAAUGGAUCUCUGGUNGCAGUGGUUGGUCAAGUAGGAUGUGGAAAGUCUUCACUUUUAGCAGCUCUUCUNGGGGAAACUGAAAAACUUGAUGGAUCUGUGUAUGUCAAGGGAACUACAGCAUAUGUACCCCAGCAAGCUUGGAUUCAGAAUGCUACUUUACAAGAAAACAUCUUGUUUGGCAAGAGUCUUGACAACAGACGUUACAAAGAUGUGAUACGUGCAUGUGCUCUUCUACCUGACCUCAAAAUCCUUCCCUCAGGGGAUUUGACAGAGAUCGGUGAAAAGGGAAUCAAUCUAAGUGGAGGUCAGAAGCAGCGUGUGAGUCUUGCCAGAGCAGUGUACUUUAAUACCGAUAUCUACCUACUGGAUGAUCCCCUCAGUGCAGUUGACUCACAUGUAGGCAAACAUCUAUUUGAUAAAGUGAUAGGACCCAGGGGACUUUUGCAGUUGAAGACACGCAUUCUUGUCACACACAGUCUUCAGUUUUUACCACAGUGUGAUCAAAUCAUUGUUUUACAGCAUGGAAAAAUCUCUGAGGUUGGUACAUAUUCAGAGUUGAUAUCUAAUCAAGGAGCCUUUGCUGAGUUUGUAAAUACACAUAAAACAGAUAACAGCUGCUUACAGAAGGAACAACAGAAACCUUCAAAACAAGACAAGAUUGCAGAACCUGCCAUCCCAAUUAUAAAGGAAACUCCGAGCUCUGAGUUUAAAGAUGUAAGCCUAACAACCCGAAAAGUGACAAGCUGUCAUCAUUUAAGCAGGCCUGAAGAUUCUGGGGAACAUUUGAUGCUCNGCAGCAACAAAGCAAAGAGUGAAGCUAAUAUUGAAUAUGCAGAACAUUUACCACAUCGCCCUCAUAGUCCUUUGCCUAAACAACUAAGCAAUGAUAUAGAUGACAUUGUAUCAUGUCCUGGUGAUUUGGACAUGGCUUCUAAUCCAUGUAACCUAGAAGAAGAAUCAGCUGAGGACAUCAAAAAACCUCGCAAACUAGCUUCACUAAAAGAUGAGGGAGAUGACGAUGAAGAUGAAGAUGGCACAGAAGCAAAAGAUACAUCUAAAUUGACCAGAAGUAAAUCAGAAUCUUGUGAUGAACAAGGCAGAAUUACGACCACAGAGAAGUCUCAAAUUGGAAGGGUAAAAUACUCUGUCUUCAAAGCAUACUCCAAGUCUUUGGGCAUCUUGCUUUUUGCAGUGAUAAUCUUUGCUCUGUUGCUUGCUGAAGCCUUUCUUGUUGCNUCAAGAAUCUGGUUGGCUGAGUGGAGCUCAACUAAUGUCACUUCCACUCAACAGCGAAAUACCUUCAUUGGUGUCUAUGGUGGACUUGGAAUGGGGCAGGCUNUAUUUGUAUUAUUAGGCAGUUUACUGCUGGUUUGUGGAACUGCCAGGGCCUCAAGAAGACUUCAUAAUAACCUUCUCACUAAUGUCCUCCAUGCUCCAAUGUCAUUCUUUGAGACCACACCAACUGGANGAAUCUUGAAUCGAUUCUCUAGAGACAUGGCUAUGAUUGAUGACGGCAUUCCCAAAUCAUUUCUUCUGUUUGCACGGAUGUUCCUUUCUGCUAUUGGGACUAUGGUCGUGAUCAGCUAUGCCACUCCCGUUUUUAUUGCNUGUGCAAUACCAAUUACUAUACUUUAUAUUUUCAUCCAGAGAGCAUACAUAGCAACGUCACGUCAGCUGAAGAGGAUUGAAUCAGUGAGNCGUUCACCAGUUUAUAGUCACUUCUAUGAAACCAUCACAGGAACCACGGUAAUCCGUGCAUUUGCACAGCAAAAACGAUUUGUUCUGGACAACUAUUACAAAGUAGAUGCCACUCAAAUUGCUAAUUAUCCUGCUAUUUGUACAAACAGAUGGCUGGGUUUAAGGCUUGAAUUCAUUGGUGCUUCCAUUCUAUUGUUUGCUACUAUAUUUGCUGUCAUCUACCGUGACUCUUUGCCACCUGGUACUGUUGGAUUGUCAGUCACAUAUGCAUUACAGAUAACAGGUGUGUUGACAUGGCUGGUGCGUCAAUCAAGUGAACUUGAAACAAACACUGUAGCUGUUGAAAGAGUCAAAGAAUAUACAGAAGUACCUACUGAGGCUGAUUGGAUAAUCCAAGGCUAUCGUCCUCCUGAUGAGUGGCCACAAGAAGGCAGGAUUGAUGUACAAAACCUGGGAAUUAGAUACAGGGAUGGACAACCAUCUGUGCUUAGAAAUCUCACAUUCAAAGUUGUCAGUGGUGAAAAAGUUGGAGUAGUAGGUCGUACUGGAGCUGGGAAAUCAACNCUAUCAAUGUCUCUGUUUCGUAUACUGGAGCGCAACAUGGGCAAGAUUGUCAUUGACAAUAUAGACAUUGCAAAGAUUGGUUUACAUGACUUGAGAUCAAGACUUACCAUCAUUCCACAGGAUCCUGUCUUGUUUUCUGGCUCUAUUCGUAUGAAUCUUGACCCUUUUGAUCAGUAUGACGAUGAAGAGCUUUGGCGUGUGUUAGAAGUUGUCCAUCUCAAAUCAUUCAUCUCUGGUCUACAAGAUGGCCUUCUACAUUUUGUCCUUGAAGGUGGUGAGAACCUCAGUGUUGGUCAAUGUCAACUCCUAUGCCUUGCAAGAGCCUUACUGCGCCAAAACAAGAUUCUUAUACUAGANGAGGCAACAGCUGCUAUUGACCUUGAAACAGAUGAACUNAUCCAACAGACAGUGNGGACAGAGUUUGCAGACAGAACUGUACUUACUAUUGCACACNGACUGAAAACAAUCAUGGACUAUAACAGGAUUAUGGUCCUUGAUCAAGGUACAUUAGUAGAGUUUGACACACCAUCAGCAUUGAUUGCUAAAAAAGGAGUCUUCUAUCAGAUGGCUAGAGAUGCAGGACUAUCUUCAUAAUUACCUAAUUACGCAACAAUAGGAAGUUUUUUUAAAAUAUUUACCUAUUAAACUACCAUAAUAUUACCAUUUUAGGUAACUUGAUAAAAAUUAAAUAUACACACAAAUUAGGAAAAAAAGCAUACAAAGCAGUCUAUUCUUUGGAUUAAGCUCAUGUAAGAUACAUUAGUAUGCUGUUUGACUGUGAACAAUCAAGCUAUUUUUAUAGUACCAGCUACACACAAGUCAUGGAUUGAUCUGUUGAACUGAAUUAUUUGGGCUGGUCCAAAUAUGACUUUUAGUGCAAUGCAAUUACCUGUAAGAACAAUAUAUAACCCUGGCCUGGCCGCUCAUAUCAGUUUUCAAAAUACUUUUUAAAAGAUUUUUAUACAAUCAUUUUUAACAUGCCCA